AUUGAACGCUGGCGGCAUGCCUAACACAUGCAAGUCGAACGGUAACGGACCGCUGGGGAUUCCUUCGGGAUGACCUUGGUGCCGACGAGUGGCGGACGGGUGAGUAACACUUGGGAAUCUGCCCAGUAGUGGGGGACAACAUUCGGAAACGGAUGCUAAUACCGCAUACGCCCUAUGGGGGAAAGUGGGGGAUCUUCGGACCUCACGCUAUUGGAUGAGCCCAAGUCGGAUUAGCUUGUUGGUGGGGUAAUGGCUCACCAAGGCGACGAUCCGUAGCUGGUCUGAGAGGAUGAUCAGCCACACUGGGACUGAGACACGGCCCAGACUCCUACGGGAGGCAGCAGUGGGGAAUAUUGGACAAUGGGCGCAAGCCUGAUCCAGCAACGCCGCGUGGAGGAAGAAGGCCUUCGGGUCGUAAACUCCUGUCAGUUGGGACGAAAAGCCAUCGGUGAAUACCCGGUGGUUAUGACGGUACCAGCAGAGGAAGCCCCGGCUAACUCCGUG
Molecule: ribosomal RNA, 504 nt
Filed under: uncultured bacterium
Lineage: Bacteria
Description: bacterial SSU rRNA
Rfam family: Bacterial small subunit ribosomal RNA
Source: RNAcentral